UAGGGAAUCUUCCGCAAUGGGCGAAAGCCUGACGGAGCAAUGCCGCGUGAGUGAUGAAGGUUUUCGGAUCGUAAAGCUCUGUUGCCAGGGAAGAACGCUUGGGAGAGUAACUGCUCUCAAGGUGACGGUACCUGAGAAGAAAGCCCCGGCUAACUACGUGCCAGCAGCCGCGGUAAUACGUAGGGGGCAAGCGUUGUCCGGAAUUAUUGGGCGUAAAGCGCGCGCAGGCGGUCAUUUAAGUCUGGUGUUUAAUCCCGGGGCUCAACCCCGGAUCGCACUGGAAACUGGGUGACUUGAGUGCAGAAGAGGAGAGUGGAAUUCCACGUGUAGCGGUGAAAUGCGUAGAUAUGUGGAGGAACACCAGUGGCGAAGGCGACUCUCUGGGCUGUAACUGACGCUGAGGCGCGAAAGCGUGGGGAGCAAACAGGAUUAGAUACCCUGGUAGUCCACGCCGUAAACGAUGAGUGCUAGGUGUUAGGGGUUUCGAUACCCUUGGUGCCGAAGUUAACACAUUAAGCACUCCGCCUGGGGAGUACGGUCGCAAGACUG
Molecule: ribosomal RNA, 549 nt
Filed under: Paenibacillus sp.
Lineage: Bacteria; Bacillati; Bacillota; Bacilli; Caryophanales; Paenibacillaceae
Description: bacterial SSU rRNA
Rfam family: Bacterial small subunit ribosomal RNA
Source: RNAcentral